RNAcentral lists this ribosomal RNA (253 nucleotides) under uncultured bacterium. RNAcentral's name for it is "partial 16S ribosomal RNA". It matches the Rfam family "Bacterial small subunit ribosomal RNA", at positions 524 to 776 of the family's 1533-position model. The record is from RNAcentral.
UACGAAGGGGGCUAGCGUUGCUCGGAAUCACUGGGCGUAAAGGGCGCGUAGGCGGCCAUUCAAGUCGGGGGUGAAAGCCUGUGGCUCAACCACAGAAUUGCCUUCGAUACUGUUUGGCUUGAGUCUGGUAGAGGUUGGUGGAACUGCGAGUGUAGAGGUGAAAUUCGUAGAUAUUCGCAAGAACACCGGUGGCGAAGGCGGCCAACUGGACCAGUACUGACGCUGAGGCGCGAAAGCGUGGGGAGCGAACAGG